GGUGGCUCAGUGGUAGAGUGCUUGCCUAGCAUGCAUGAAGCCCUGGGUUCAAAUCCUUGGCACCA
RNAcentral lists this transfer RNA (65 nucleotides) under Dipodomys ordii (Ord's kangaroo rat). It matches the Rfam family "tRNA". Rfam says of the family: Transfer RNA (tRNA) molecules are approximately 80 nucleotides in length. The record is from Rfam by way of RNAcentral. Lineage: Eukaryota; Metazoa; Chordata; Mammalia; Rodentia; Heteromyidae.